Long non-coding RNA from Panthera uncia (snow leopard), 853 nucleotides. RefSeq lists it as uncharacterized. The record is from RefSeq and is a predicted model, not a curated record. The transcript is spliced from 3 exons. Lineage: Eukaryota; Metazoa; Chordata; Mammalia; Carnivora; Felidae.
CUUAGUGACCUAAAGCAACAGGUACUGUUACAUCACAGCCUUUGUGGCUCAGGAGUUCAGACCUUGAUCCCUGUUGAGGUCUGACAAGGCCACAGUCACCGUGUCAGCUGGCAGAGAGCUCACCUUCUAGACACUUUACAACUUUGCUUUUGCUUCUUCAAGAUUCGCUGUCCGCACUUUCCCUUCCGUGGGUUCGGGUCACUGCCAACCGGAAGCCGCGGAUCCUCCUUCUGACGAAUCUGCAGACGGUCAAUAGGGGCCUAAAGCUCCGUCGGGACGCCUGGUCGUUUACCUGACGUCAUCUCAGCCCCGAGAGGAGACGAGGGGACGUCAUCCUGCGCCGUCACCAGAGGAAGAUACCAGAAGUGUUCUAUAGAGUAGCUGUCGCAUCGCUAUGGGGCUCAGAGUGAGGAAGAUCUUGGAACAGAGCCCCUGGGUAGCCCGUCUGCAGUGGAUACAUAGCACAGAGUGAGGAACAAACUUCUGGGAAUUUCAGGUUUCUUUGUUUCCUCCGUAUCACCUGAGUUAUCCAGUCUGCUACAAAGGAUCCGAAAAUUACGAUAAGUUCAUUAAAGCAUAUUGGAGAGUGUGAAAUGAGGGGAGUGACGUUGGGCUCACAUGUUCUAGACAACAAGGAAGGACCUUCUGCAGCAUUUCUCACUCUUGCCACAGGAUGAGGAACAGAAGGGAAAAGAAUGGACCUGGGGUCAUGUGGGGCACUGACUCCGGAUGGCGGUGCUGACAGGUCAGGUCAUCUCCGUGUACAGAUCAUGCUGGUUGCCAAGGGUGGUUUACAGCCUAAUUCUUUAGGGCCUGACGGAGCAUGGAAAUCAACUAGAAGCAAGAGGAAGAG